CUUUCCUUCUCAAGGUGUCCAAGACACACAGGGCCACGGAAUCUCACAGGUGUCUGAGAAUUCCUCCUCCUGGGACUCUCAGAGGAUCCAGAACUGCAGCCGGUCCUCGCUUUGCUGUCCCUGUCCCUGUCCAUGUAUCUGGUCACGGUGCUGAGGAACCUGCUCAGCAUACCGGCUGUCAGCUCUGACUCCCCCCUCCACACCCCCACGUAAUUCUUCCUCUCCAACCUGUGCUGGGCUGACAUGGGUUUCACCUCAGCCACGGUUCCCAAGAUGAUUGUGGACAUGCAGUCACAUAGCAGAGUCAUCUCUCAUGCGGGCUGCCUGACACAGAUGUAUUUCUUGGUCCUUUUUGCAUGUAUAGAAGGCAUGCUCCUGACUGUGAUGGCCUAUGACUGCUUUGUAGACAUCUGUGGCCCUCUGCACUAUCCAGUCAUCGUGAAUCCUCACCUCUGUAUCUUCUUCGUCUUGGUGUCCUUUUUCCUCAGCCUGUUGGAUUCCCAGCUGCACAGUUGGAUUGUGUUAUAACUCACCAUCAUCAAGAAUGUGGAAAUCUCUCAUUUUGUCUGUGACCCCUCUCAACCUCUCAAACUUGCCUGUUCUGACAGCGUCAUCAAUAGCAUAUUCAUAUAUUUCGAUAGUACUAUGUUUGGUUUUCUUCCCAUUUCAGGGAUCCUUUUGUCUUACUAUAAAACUGUCCCCUCCAUUCUAAGGAUUUCAUCGUCAGAUGGGAAGUAUAAAGCUUUCUCCACCUGUGGCUCUCACCUAGCAGCUGUUUGCUGAUUUUAUGGAGCAGACAUUGUCGUGUACCUGGCUUCAGCUGUGUCACCACCCCCCAGGAGUGGUGUGGUGGCAUCAGUGAUGUACGCUGUGGUCACCCCCAUGCUGAACCUUUUCAUGUACAGCCUGAGAAACAGGGACAUACAAAGUGCCCUGCGGAGGCUGCGCAGCAGAACAGUGGAAUCUC
RNAcentral lists this long non-coding RNA (967 nucleotides) under Homo sapiens (human). RNAcentral describes it as "non-protein coding lnc-DEFB130B-2:1". Lineage: Eukaryota; Metazoa; Chordata; Mammalia; Primates; Hominidae. The record is from RNAcentral.